This 768-nucleotide long non-coding RNA is filed under the name Medicago truncatula (barrel medic). RNAcentral describes it as "long non-coding RNA (MTRU_LNC000194)". The record is from RNAcentral. Lineage: Eukaryota; Viridiplantae; Streptophyta; Magnoliopsida; Fabales; Fabaceae.
CAAUUGCUAAUUUGCAGAGUAAUUUUUCUGUUCUUUUGGUUUCAAAACCAAAAUUGAAUAUGAUAUCAAUGAUGCCUUUUCGAGUUGCAUACAAAUGCUGGAUAAUAUUAGCAGAAUGGGCUGCUCUUUGUUUUUGGGUGGCUGAUGACAUAGCUCGUGCUCUCUAACCUCAUCAUCAAGAAUCAAGAAACAAACAAUGAUAUGUUUCUUGUAGGUACUAAUCAAUUUUUGACAACAUUUGAGAUUUUAGGGUUUUAGUUUGGACAUGAAGUGUCACAGUUUUUGACACUUCUGAGUGCUUGAUUUGUAUUUUGUAGCAAUGAUUAAUUUAAUCCAAGAAAUUCUAUUCUCUAUUAGCAAAGAUUUAAGGAUAUGCUUCGUUCUCUUGCAUUUUAUUUUUUUAUUUAAGUUUAUUUUAGGGACACGUUCAUUUUUUUAGGGUUUUGUUUUCGUCAUGAGAACCAUUAGGGUUUGGUUCAUUUGCCACUUGUGGUUAUACGAUUUGUAUUUUGCAAGUAAUCGUAUUGAUGUUGUGGCGACGUCUCCAUUUGGAGAUCCACGGAAAAGGAGAAAGUUCUCCAAGGAUGGUGCUAAGAUGUGGAUGGAGAUCUCCGCUGAGUUUUGAUAAAUUGAGCUUGUAAAUACUCUUAUCUUAUGUAAAAUGUUCUGAUUAAUACUCUAGGAUUACUCGGAACUUGAAUCAAAUACCAUUUUUUUUUUUAAACAUAAUGCAAUUUUUACCCUCGGAUCAGUUGGAUUGGAUACCAA